RNAcentral lists this ribosomal RNA (484 nucleotides) under uncultured bacterium. Its description in RNAcentral is "partial 16S ribosomal RNA". It matches the Rfam family "Bacterial small subunit ribosomal RNA", at positions 30 to 507 of the family's 1533-position model. The record is from RNAcentral.
AUUGAACGCUGGCGGCAGGCCUAACACAUGCAAGUCGAGCGGAUGAAGGGAGCUUGCUCCUGGAUUCAGCGGCGGACGGGUGAGUAAUGCCUAGGAAUCUGCCUGGUAGUGGGGGAUAACGUCAGGAAACGGGCGCUAAUACCGCAUACGUCCUGAGGUAGAACGUGGGGGAUCUUCGGACCUCACGCUAUCAGAUGAGCCUAGGUCGGAUUAGCUAGUUGGAGGGGUAAAGGCCUACCAAGGCGACGAUCCGUAACUGGUCUGAGAGGAUGAUCAGUCACACUGGAACUGAGACACGGUCCAGACUCCUACGGGAGGCAGCAGUGGGGAAUAUUGGACAAUGGGCGAAAGCCUGAUCCAGCCAUGCCGCGUGUGUGAAGAAGGUCUUCGGAUUGUAAAGCACUUUAAGUUGGGAGGAAGGGCAGUAAGUUAAUACCUUGCUGUUUUGACGUUACCAACAGAAUAAGCACCGGCUAACUUCGUG